CCUACGGGAGGCAGCAGUGGGGAAUUUUGGACAAUGGGCGAAAGCCUGAUCCAGCCAUACCGCGUGCGGGAAGAAGGCCUUCGGGUUGUAAACCGCUUUUGUCAGGGAAGAAAUGCUUCGGGCUAAUACCCUGGGGUGAUGACGGUACCUGAAGAAUAAGCACCGGCUAACUACGUGCCAGCAGCCGCGGUAAUACGUAGGGUGCAAGCGUUAAUCGGAAUUACUGGGCGUAAAGCGUGCGCAGGCGGUUCUAUAAGACAGAUGUGAAAUCCCCGGGCUCAACCUGGGAACUGCAUUUGUGACUGUAGAGCUAGAGUACGGUAGAGGGGGGAUGGAAUUCCGCGUGUAGCAGUGAAAUGCGUAGAUAUGCGGAGGAACACCGAUGGCGAAGGCAACUCCCCUGGACCUGUACUGACGCUCAUGCACGAAAGCGUGGGGAGCAAACAGGAUUAGACUACCCUGGUAGUCCACGCCCUAAACGAUGUCAACUGGUUGUUGGGUAGGGUUUCUUCUCAGUAACGAAGCUAACGCGUGAAGUUGACCGCUGGGGAGUACGGCCGCAAGGUUGAAACUUUAAAGNGAAGUUGACGG
RNAcentral lists this ribosomal RNA (591 nucleotides) under uncultured bacterium. RNAcentral's name for it is "bacterial SSU rRNA". It matches the Rfam family "Bacterial small subunit ribosomal RNA", at positions 338 to 916 of the family's 1533-position model. The record is from RNAcentral.